CCUACGGGAGGCAGCAGUGAGGAAUAUUGGUCAAUGGACGAGAGUCUGAACCAGCCAAGUAGCGUGAAGGAUGACUGCCCUAUGGGUUGUAAACUUCUUUUAUAAAGGAAUAAAACGAGGCACGUGUGCCUUUUUGCAUGUACUUUAUGAAUAAGGAUCGGCUAACUCCGUGCCAGCAGCCGCGGUAAUACGGAGGAUCCGAGCGUUAUCCGGAUUGAUUGGGUUUAAGGGGAGCGUAGAUGGGUUGUUAAGUCAGUUGUGAAAGUGUGCGGCUCAACCGUAAAAUUGCAAUUGAUACUGGCAGUCUUGAGUACAGUUGAGGUAAGCGGAAUUCGUGGUGUAGCGGUGAAAUGCUUAGAUAUCACGAAGAACCCCGAUUGCGAAGGCAGCUUACUAAACUGUGACUGACAUUGAUGCUCGAAAGUGUGGGUAUCAAACAGGAUUAGAUACCCCAGUAGUC
Molecule: ribosomal RNA, 460 nt
Filed under: uncultured bacterium
Lineage: Bacteria
Description: partial 16S ribosomal RNA
Rfam family: Bacterial small subunit ribosomal RNA
Source: RNAcentral